UCGAGAAUUUUUCUCAAUGGGGGAAACCCUGAAGGAGCGACGCCGCGUGGAGGAUGAAGGUCUUCGGGUUGUAAACUCCUGUCAUUUGGGAACAAGCUGUACGUGUUUACUGCACGUGCAUUGAUAGUACCAGAAGAGGAAGAGACGGCUAACUCUGUGCCAGCAGCCGCGGUAAUACAGAGGUCUCAAGCGUUGUUCGGAUUCAUUGGGCGUAAAGGGUGCGUAGGUGGCGCCGUAAGUCAGGUGUGAAAUUUCGGAGCUUAACUCCGAAACUGCAUUUGAUACUGCGGUGCUUGAGGACUGGAGAGGAGACUGGAAUUUACGGUGUAGCAGUGAAAUGCGUAGAGAUCGUAAGGAAGACCAGUGGCGAAGGCGGGUCUCUGGACAGUUCCUGACACUGAGGCACGAAGGCCAGGGGAGCAAACG
This 426-nucleotide ribosomal RNA is filed under the name Candidatus Udaeobacter sp. RNAcentral describes it as "partial 16S ribosomal RNA". It matches the Rfam family "Bacterial small subunit ribosomal RNA", at positions 355 to 774 of the family's 1533-position model. RNAcentral also lists the same sequence under 3 other names. Lineage: Bacteria; Pseudomonadati; Verrucomicrobiota; Spartobacteria; Chthoniobacterales; Chthoniobacteraceae. The record is from RNAcentral.